Molecule: ribosomal RNA, 545 nt
Filed under: Nigrocornus scleroticus
Lineage: Eukaryota; Fungi; Ascomycota; Sordariomycetes; Hypocreales; Clavicipitaceae
Description: partial large subunit ribosomal RNA
Rfam family: Eukaryotic large subunit ribosomal RNA
Source: RNAcentral
GGCGAGUGAGCGGCAACAGCUCAAUUUGAAAUCUGGCCCCCCCGGGCCCGAGUUGUAAUUUGCAGAGGAUGCUUCUGGCAAGGCGCCUUCCGAGUGCCCUGGAACGGGACGCCACAGAGGGUGAGAGCCCCGUCUGGUUGGACGCCGAGCCUCCGCGAAGCUCCUUCGACGAGUCGAGUAGUUUGGGAAUGCUGCUCUAAACGGGAGGUAUAUGUCUUCUAAAGCUAAAUACCGGCCAGAGACCGAUAGCGCACAAGUAGAGUGAUCGAAAGAUGAAAAGCACUUUGAAAAGAGGGUUAAACAGUACGUGAAAUUGUUGAAAGGGAAGCGCUCGCGACCAGACUUGGGCCCGGCGAAUCAUCCGGCGUUCUCGCCGGUGCACUUCGCCGGGCUUCCAGGCCAGCAUCAGCUCGCCUCGGGGGACAAAGGCCCGGGGAACGUGGCUCCUUACGGGAGUGUUAUAGCCCCUCGCGCAAUGCCCUGGGGCGGGCUGAGGACCGCGCAUUCGCAAGGAUGCUGGCGUAAUGAUCGUCAGCGACCCGUCU